AUGUUAAUCCCACUUUUUUUUUCCUCUCAAAGAAGAAUUUUGUCAUAGUUACCUUGCUGAAAAUUGAGUGUUGUUUUUCUUUUUUUCUUUUCUUUCUUUCUUUCUUUUUUUUUUUUUUUGAGGCAGGGUCUCCCUCUGUCACCCAGGCUUCAGUGCAGUGGUGUGAUCUUGGCUCACUGCAACCUCUGCCUCCCGGGUUCAAGCUAUUCUCGAGCCCCAGCCCCCUGAGCAGCUGGGCUUACAGGUGUCCGUCAUGACACCCGGCUGAUUUUUGUAUUUUUAGUAGAGACGGGAUUUUGCCAUGUUGGUCAGGCUGGUCUAAACUGUUGUGUCCCUUAAUACAGUGCUAAACUCAAUUCCUAACCACUUGUCAGAACCAAGGCAACCCCUUUCUCUUCCCUAAGUGACUUGUUUAGGCAGCCCUUUGCAUCUCGGAGAGCUGUGGAGAUGGCGCUGGCGGUCCUUGGAGUGGACUCCACAUGUUGGCUUCAGAGCUAUGUUGGGUGCUCUAAGCUGCGGUCCCCCAGCCCAAAAUACAGACUUAAAAAUAUGUGAAAUUGACUUCUUUAGACAUGACAUGCAUGCUUUUAUUUGCCGCACUCUCACUGUGUCAUACUGUCUUUUUACACUCUGAUACAUCACUGAGUGAGUGGCCUGAUUGAUCCACAAAGACAUUCUCCUUUGCAUCCUCUGGGACAAGAACUGGUCUCCCCUUGGGAAGGGUGUGGUGGAGACUUCCACCUUGAGUCCAGCAACCUUGGAGCUACAGUGCCCUCCCUGUCCAGGAAGCCUCCUCCUUCUUUGGGUGGCUGCAGCCUGCUGAGCCCUAAGUGGCCGGAAGAGAAGUGUAAGGGGAGGGCCCCAGAAGCUUCUCUCCAGCCUGACUCCUGCAGUCUCCUCUCCUGGGAGGUGUAAACGAAAUGUA
RNAcentral lists this long non-coding RNA (925 nucleotides) under Homo sapiens (human). Its description in RNAcentral is "HSALNT0105994". Lineage: Eukaryota; Metazoa; Chordata; Mammalia; Primates; Hominidae. The record is from RNAcentral.